AGGACGAACGCUGGCGGCGUGCUUAACACAUGCAAGUCGAGCGGUAAGGCCUCUUCGGGGGUACACGAGCGGCGAACGGGUGAGUAACACGUGGGUGACCUGCCCUCAGCUCUGGGAUAAGCCUGGGAAACUGGGUCUAAUACUGGAUAUGACUGCGCAUCGCAUGGUGUGUGGUGGAAAGUUUUUUCGGCUGGGGAUGGGCCCGCGGCCUAUCAGCUUGUUGGUGGGGUGAUGGCCUACCAAGGCGACG
Molecule: ribosomal RNA, 250 nt
Filed under: uncultured bacterium
Lineage: Bacteria
Description: partial small subunit ribosomal RNA
Rfam family: Bacterial small subunit ribosomal RNA
Source: RNAcentral